GUGCUCCCCCGCCAAUUCCUUUAAGUUUCAGACUUGCGUCCGUACUUCCCAGGCGGCAAACUUAACGGCUUCCCUGCGGCACUGCAUUGGCCAUAAGCCAAUGCAUCACCGAGUUUGCAUCGUUUACAGCUGGGACUACCCGGGUAUCUAAUCCGGUUUGCUCCCCCAGCUUUCAUCCCUCACCGUCGAACGUGUUCUGGCAGACCGCCUUCGCCACUGGUGGUCCUCAAUGGAUCAGAGGAUUUUACCCCUACCCACUGAAUACCGUCUGCCUCUCCCACUCCCUAGCUCUGUAGUAUCUCCAGCGGCCCAUCUGUUGAGCAGGUGGAUUUAACCGAAGACUUGCAGAGCCGGCUACGGAUGCUUUAGGCCCAAUAAACGUCCUGACCACUCGAGGUGCUGGUAUUACCGCGGCGGCUGACACCAGACUUGCCCACCCCUUAUUCACCUGUGCUUUUAGGACAGGCAAAAGACUCCUUUAUCAGGAAUCACUCGGACUGACCCAGUCGUGCUUUCGCACAUUGCUAAGGUUUCGCGCCUGCUGCACCCCGU
Molecule: ribosomal RNA, 552 nt
Filed under: uncultured archaeon
Lineage: Archaea
Description: partial 16S ribosomal RNA
Source: RNAcentral